AGCCUUCUGCCACCUCAGCCCCCUCUGGACUUCGGGCACCGACGAACAUGGGAUAGAGGCUGAGGAGGGGCUGAAGUCAGCUUGGCACAGGCCACCGCUUGGUAAGAACAGCCUGGGCACUGUGGACUGCGUGUUGAUGGCAGGAGGCAAACAGGUUCCUGGGUGGAAAGGGAUUAGUCCCACGUGAAGCCCCACCUUCAAGGCAGGGACGGCCUGAAGCCUGGUGGCCGGGCUGUCAGAUCCAGGUGGAGUGGGAACUCAUGGUGCUUUUUACCAGCCUGCCCAUGGCUGCCCAUGGAUGAAUCAGCACGUACUUUCUCCCUUCUGAGACCGUAAAAUCCCCGAAACCAGCCAAACUCACAUAGACAUCAGGAUGACUUGCCUGUGGAAAGGAGCUACCCAUUCUGGUUCUCCGCUCCACUGAGAGCUGCACUCAUCACGACAACUUGCAUGUGAACGGAACCACCCACUCCAGGUCUCCUCUCUGCUGAGGUGGACACUCAUUGGGACAACCCGCCUGCGGAAAGGAGCUGUCCACUUCCGGUCCUCUGCAGCCGUUCUGUCAAUGAAGCUCCUCUCUGCCUUGCUCACCCUCCACUUGUCCGUGUACCUCAUUCUUGUCGUGGAACAAGACCCUGGGACCCAGUGAAUGGUGGGACUGAAAGAGCGGUAACACAAACAGGGCUGAAACAUGCCCACCGCUCGCCACUUUGCGGGCGACGAGGAGAAACGAGCUUCUGUGGCCCUUCAGGAAUCCCAGACCUAGAGACUCCUGAGCCAGGGCUGUGACACCCUCUUUGGGGCUCCGCAGUUUCUGGUGUCUCCAAGCUUCCGGGUGCCAUCGUAUUUCCCAGUGCCUGCAGUGGAAGCCAUUUGUGGUAACGCCUGGUCCAGCCAGUCUCGCACGGAACCCACGCCUGUGCUGGCGCCUGGAGCUGCCUGCCCAGUGGCAGCAAGCACGCCUGGCUGUGUGCAGUGGCCAGACCCCGUGCUUAUUAACACACCCCUUGCUACUCCUCACCAGGCUCGCCCUUGGCAGGUGUGGGAUCCGGGUCAGUAUUAUGAGCCAAAUACAGCCUGCUGGGGCGAGUGAGCAGAAGAGGCCAGCGGGCCCGUGUAAAACUCAGGCAAAGGCACCACCAGCCACAGAGGUUUCCAACUGAAAAAGCGACACGGUUUGAUCUUCGCAGUGGCCUGUGGCUAAGACUGAUAUUAAAGGAAGAAUUAAAAUCCUGAAUCAAUCAUGAACUUUAAAGUUAAGAUGAAUUCAAGGAUAUCAAACUUGACUGCAUAAGAGAGUAUCAUGUUUGGAGAGAAGAAAUAAUUUUAUUGCGAGACACAAAGUGGUGUCUGUCACUUAAAUCCUUCACCAAUCUACCUCCUGUACUCGUGGAAAAAAAGGAAUCAGGAAGAGAGCAGCAGAAACCCAGGGGUUACCUGAGGAUAAUUUAGGUCUUUAUUAUGUACAUUCUCAGCUCACCGCUGUGCAGAAUUGGUAUGAAAAUCAAUUCAGGAAAGACAGCCUGUGUGUUGAGGAUGGCAUAAGGAACAGAUGACAACCACCACCAUCAUCAGCUACUUCAUUAAGAUGAAACAUCAGUGUUGGAAUUUCUCUACCAUUAUUCUUCUCACCCUAUGAGAUAAUAAACCCUCUUAAUUUUUAUUUAUUUUUAUAAAGGUAUGCUGUUCCUUGUAGCUACACAUUUCCUAAGGCAUAGAGUGAUUCUAUUUCCACUGUGAGAACAAUUCAUUUUGGUAUUUUUGAAGAGUAGUUUUAAUAUAUAUACCCUAGUGGGACCCAUAAAGAAUUAUGUGCUUGUAUCAUUCCCUCCCGUUAAGUGUGGGCAAAAUGUGUAAGUCGCUUCCAGGCAGUAGAAUAUAAAAAAGUGGUAGGAUAGUCACUCUCUAGAUUAGGUUACUUAUGUAAGACCCUCUUUCAGCAGACAAGAAUAAGAUUCUUCUACUGGCCUUGAGAAAGUAAGCUGCACGCUGUAAGAAGGCCACAGUCAAGAAACUAAAGGUGGGCACCAGGAGCUGAGGGCAACACCUGCCUGAUAGUUAGCAAGAAAAUGAGGGCCUCAAUCCUUCAACCACAAGAAAUUGAAUUCUACCAACAAUCAUGUGAGCUUGAACGUUGAGCUCCAGAAAGAAUGUGGUCCAGCUCAUAGCUUAUUAGCAGUCUUUUAAGACCCUGAGCCCAAGAUCCACCCAAGCCUUGCUUAGAUUCCUGACCUAUAGAUGAUGUCAGAUAAUAAAUGUAUGUGAUUUUAGGUUUUUGGUGAUUGGUUAUAUGGAAAUUAAUAUCUAAUAUAUCAAGUCACCAAUACUUGCUCUGAUAGGUAAUUUUUAUUUCACAAUCAGUUCAUAUUCACCAAAUCUAUAAUUGAGGCUUCUGUGUUUUGUGACCCAAAGAACAAACAUUACAACUCAUGAUUUGCAAUGUCUAUUAUUUCACCAUUUAUAGCCAGUUAUGCCAUCUUCAGAUAAAAUUUAUACCAUCAACUAAGCUUUCUAAAGCAAUCUUCUAUUAUGUUUCUUUCAUGAAAUGUGUCAUUUUUGUUUUACUCCAUAAAAUUGACAAACCUCUUUAUAAAUAUCAAAUAUUAGCACCUGGCAAUGGUGUGGAAAAAUAGGCACUCUCAUAUUAUGACAGUGGAUAUGAUAAAUUGUAACAACAUUUUAAAGAGUAAUUUGGCAAUACAUUUUAAAGCUUUAAAAUAUUUUUUCUUCAUUACCUCAAUACAUCAAAUAAUUCAAAUCAAGUACUUAAUCUUAUACCCAACAUACCUCAUCAAACUGCACUUGUGCAAAACAAAAUGCAUCUGUUUUUCCUCUCAACUCUAACUAACCCCCUUUCCACUUUUCAGUGUUCACUAUUUUAGUGAAUGUUACUUCUAUGACCCCAAUUGUCCAAGCCUGGAUAUUUCCCUCCCCCAGCUCUCUUUAUCAUUCAAAACGAAGAUUUGCCAGUUCUGUAUCUGCCAUUGCUACUCUCCCAUCAUACUGAUCUUUUAAUAACAUUAUGCUAUUAAGAACUCACUAUGUUAUUACUUAAAGAAAGUCCUUCAAUUACUCUCCAUUACAUGAAUUACAAGGGCCACCUAACCCAGCCCUUGUUUUUUUGAUGGCUCCUUCUUUGACAAUGUAGAAGGGGAAAAAAAAAAAAAGAAUCUUAGAUCUGGAAGGGCCUUAGAUAAUCAGUUAGCUUAAUGCUCAUUUAAUAGAAUGUAAGACAAAGUCCUGACUAUUUCAAAAUGAUGCUCUCUCAAGUUUUGUAUAGAUUUAGAAUGCAUGUUUAAUAUUCUUUGUUCAGACUCAAGGUCAUUUUAUCUUCUGCAUUAUAUAAACUGGUAAAUUGAAUUUAAUCUGUUGUGUAGUUUUAGUUUUGUUAUAAAACAUCAUUUUUAAAUAGAACACUUUUGGACCAGUUUUAGGUUCAGAUAAAAAUUGAGUGGAAGGUACAGAGAUUUUCAAUAUAUCUCUGCAUGUGCACGUGCAUAACCUUUGCUAUUAUUAGCCUCCCCCACCAAACUAGUACAUUUGUUAAAACUGAUAAAUGGCACUGAUGCAUUAUUAUUACCCAAAGCCCAUAGUUUACAUUAGGGUUAGAUCUUGGCAUUUUAUUUUCUAUUGAUUUGGACAAAUAUAUAGUGACAUGUAUCCACCAUUAUGGUAUCAUGCAGAGUCAUUUCACUGACCUAAAACUCCUCUAUUCUCCACUUAUUUAUCCCUAACCACUGGCAACCACUGAUCUUUGACUGAGAACUGGCCUUCACAGAAGUUAUUAAUCUUGGUAAAGUUCAGCUCAUCAGCUUUUUUCUUUUGUGGGUUGUGCCUCGGUGUUGCAUGCAAAAAGUCAUUGCCAUACCCUAGAUCUUCUAGAUUUUCUCUUACAUCAUCUUCUAGGAGUUUUAUAGUAUUACAUUUUAUAUUUAAGCAUAAAAUCCAUUUGAGUUAAUAUUCAAAAAAGGUGUGUGUAAAGUCUAAGUUUUGAUUUUUUUUCAUGUGAGUGUCCAGUUGUUCCAGCACCAUUUGUAGAAAAGAUUUUUUUCCUACUGUAUUGCCUUACUUUUUUGUCAAAGAUCAGUUGACUGUAUCUAUGUGGGUCUAUUUUUGGACUUGCCCUUCUAUUCCAUUAAUCUAUUUGUCUAUUAUUUUGCCAACAUUACACUGUCUUUAUUACUGGCUUUAUAGUAAGUCAUGAAGUCAAAUAGUGACAGUCCUCCACCUUUUUUUCUCCUGCAAUAUUGCGUUGGCUUUUCAGUGCCUUUUGCCUCUCCGUACCCUCUCCUAACUAAUUACAGGCCUAUUUAGAUUUAAUAUUUCUUUAUUAUUUAGUCCUGAUUUUUUUUUCCUAGAAACUUGUCCAUUUCAUCCAGGUUACUCAAUUUGUUGGUAUACAAUUGGUCACAGUACUCUCUUAUAUGUCUUUUUAUUUCUAUAAAUUAAAUAGUGAUGUUCUCAUUUUCAUUUCUGGUUUUAGUAAUGUAAGUGUUUUUUCUUUAUUUUCUUUAUCUAUAGUUAAAAAUUUGUCAUUUUUUCUUUUUAAGUAACAAACUUCGGGUCUCAUUGAUUUGCUAUAUUUUCUUUUCAUUCCCUAUUUUGUCUAUCUUUCCUCUAAUAUUUAUUAUUUUCUUUCUUCUAUUAACUUUAGUUUUAUAUUUUUAUUUUUAUUUAGUUCCUUUAGCGGAAAAGUUAGGUUGUUGAUUUAAGAUGUUUCUUGUUUUUUAAUAUGUUUAUAGCCAUAAAUCUUACCUUAUCACUGCUUUUGCUUUGUUCCAUAAGUUUUCGUAUGUGUGUGUUUUCAUUUUUAUUUAUUUUGAUCUAUUUUGUAAUUUACUUUUCUUCUUUGAUCCAUUGGUUGUUUAAAAGUGUGCUGUUUAAUUUUUACAAUUUCAUAAAUUUUCUAUUUUUAAUUUUGUUAUUGAUUAUGUUUUGUGAUUGAUUGUUAACUUUAUCCCAUUUAGGUAGAACAAGAUACGUUGUUUUAUUUAUCAUUUUAAAUCUAUUCAGACAAUUUGUAGCCUAACAUUGUUUAUUCUGGAAAAUGUCUCACUUGCCCUUGUGAAGAAUGUACAUAGGUGUGGUCAUCUCAAUUGAUGUAGAAAACACAUUUGAAAAAAAUAACAAUCUUCUAUAAUAAAACUCAACAAACGAGGAAGAAGAGAAACUGCUGCAACAUAUUAAGAGCCAUAUUUGAAAAACCCACAGCAAAUAUCAUACUUACUGAUUAAAAAUUAAAAGUUUUUUCUCUAAGAUGAAGACA
Long non-coding RNA from Pan troglodytes (chimpanzee), 5266 nucleotides. RefSeq lists it as uncharacterized. The transcript is spliced from 5 exons. The record is from RefSeq and is a predicted model, not a curated record. Lineage: Eukaryota; Metazoa; Chordata; Mammalia; Primates; Hominidae.